This 336-nucleotide unclassified non-coding RNA is filed under the name soil metagenome. RNAcentral's name for it is "partial contains 5.8S ribosomal RNA, internal transcribed spacer 2, and large subunit ribosomal RNA". The stretch from base 1 to 120 matches the Rfam family "5.8S ribosomal RNA", at positions 35 to 154 of the family's 154-position model. The record is from RNAcentral.
GAUGAAGAACGCAGCGAAAUGCGAUAAGUUAUGUGAAUUGCAGAAUUCAGUGAAUCAUCGAAUCUUUGAACGCACAUUGCGCCCGCCAGUAUUCUGGCGGGCAUGCCUGUUCGAACGUCAUUUCAACCAUCAAGCCCCAGGCUUGUGUUGGGGACCUGCGGCUGCCGCAGGCCCUGAAAACCAGUGGCGGGCUCGCUGUCACACCGGGCGUAGUAGAUUUUAUCUCGCUCAGGGCGUGCUGCGGGUUCCGGCCGUUAAAAAGCCUUUUUUACCCAAGGUUGACCUCGGAUCAGGUAGGAAGACCCGCUGAACUUAAGCAUAUCAAUAAGCGGAGGA